Molecule: ribosomal RNA, 486 nt
Filed under: uncultured bacterium
Lineage: Bacteria
Description: partial 16S ribosomal RNA
Rfam family: Bacterial small subunit ribosomal RNA
Source: RNAcentral
AUUGAACGCUGGCGGCAUGCCUUACACAUGCAAGUCGAACGGCAGCACGGGUGCUUGCACCUGGUGGCGAGUGGCGAACGGGUGAGUAAUACAUCGGAACAUGUCCUGUAGUGGGGGAUGGCCCGGCGAAAGCCGGAUUAAUACCGCAUACGAUCCACGGAUGAAAGCGGGGGACCUUCGGGCCUCGCGCUAUAGGGUUGGCCGAUGGCUGAUUAGCUAGUUGGUGGGGUAAAGGCCUACCAAGGCGACGAUCAGUAGCUGGUCUGAGAGGACGACCAGCCACACUGGGACUGAGACACGGCCCAGACUCCUACGGGAGGCAGCAGUGGGGAAUUUUGGACAAUGGGCGAAAGCCUGAUCCAGCAAUGCCGCGUGUGUGAAGAAGGCCUUCGGGCUGUAAAGCACUUUUGUCCGGAAAGAAAUCCUUGACUCUAAUACAGUCGGGGGAUGACGGUACCGGAAGAAUAAGCACCGGCUAACUACGUG